Long non-coding RNA from Mustela putorius furo (domestic ferret), 1621 nucleotides. The record is from Ensembl. Lineage: Eukaryota; Metazoa; Chordata; Mammalia; Carnivora; Mustelidae.
GACGGGGCGGUUGGGGAGGGGAGGAGCCUGGAGGAGAGAGGAAGAGGGGAGGAAGGGGGGGAAAGCCGCUGCUGGGGAGGGCUGGGCAGGAGCUCCCCGGGCCAGGGAACUGACUAGGUCUCAAACUGGGGGAGAGCCCAGGAAGGAACAGACCAGAAAGGGAAACCAUCAGCCUCCAGCCUGGGGAAGCGGGUUUGAGCCCAGAGAGCUUUCUGGCCCUGUACUUCCUCACUGGGAUCCGAUGGAGGCCAGACCACCUGCUCCUCUCUGCGGAGGAACCACAGCACCUGCUUGGCUGAUGGGAAAACUGCCACCUAGAAAGGUAAAGCGGUAUGUGCCAAGUCCUGCAGUCAGGAAAGGACUGAGCCAGGAUCCUGGGUUCGAACCACCCCUCUGUGCGGCUCGGAGAAGGGAAAGGUCCCUUCCUCAUCCUCUCUUGUGCAUCUCCACAGGAGCCUGUGCCCUGCCUCCUCAUUCCCUUACUUCCUCAAGGAUUUGGGAGUCUUGCGGAAAUGUGACUUCAGAUUGGUGAUGUCUCUGUCCUCCCAGCACCAGCGGGAGGGCGACUGGGCUCAGGGCUCUGGGGUCACAAGCGAAAGGACACAGCGUCGCGACUCAGCCUGUUUCUUCUAGCUGGGAAGAACCUGCUUUCCCAGUGGGGCAGGAUCCAAGGAUCCAGGGAGGAAAGGGGGUUGGAAGAGCUCCAUAACCAUCUCUAUCUCUGGCCCCCUGUGGGUUUGCUGGGAAAUCGUGGUGAACCGGGCUACCAGUCUCUGUCCUCUGGGCUCCCAGGUGGGGGAAAACCCAGCCAGUAUGGGUUACACAAGCAGACCCUUCCGCACCCCAGGACCACAGAAGGCUGCCCAGAGGAAGUGAUGGGAGGCGGAGACUGAGGGAGAGAUCAAGGGGGAGGGCAGCAGGAAGGAUACACACUGAGGAACUGAAAAGAAGUUUUCUGGUAGGAACAGGCCCUGCAAAACUCCAGAAAGGAGUCUAGCCUUUAACCCAAAGGUUUUGAGAACGAGUCUCUGAUUCACUGAAUGAGGUGAAUUGCACUUUAGCAAGAUUCUGGUGGAGGUGAGGAAGAGGGCGUGGAAAGCAGGGGCAGCUCUGAGGAGGCUGUUGCUGGGCUCAGAGGGCGGUGGGGAGGCCCCACCAGGCCUGGCAGGCGGGGGGGCAGGAGGCAGACCAGAAAGGCAUUUAGGAGGCAGCAUGGUAGCGGGAGAUGGAGCCCAUGGGCUCUGGGUUAGAGCACCCGCCUGCCCUUUCCCACCUGGGCAGGGCUGCCUCCGGCUCAGGUGGGGGUUGCGGGGGAGCUGGGGGCUGAGGCCAUUGGGACGAGGAGGGACCGUGCCAGCCUGUGCCAGGCUCGCCCCCAGCCCUGCUGCCUGUGGACUGCUGAUGGUGGCCAGACUUCCUCUGGUGACUGCCCACUUCAGCGCCGGUAAUGCGCUUUCCCAGAACAACAGGGCCUGAGUCCCAGGGCCAGAACACCCUCUCCGCCUCCAGGUGGGGCUUUGGUUCCAGAGUGGCCACUGCUGCCUCUGUCUGGGCUGCUGCUUCGCAGAACCUCCCACCCCUACUCACCCCCUCCCGUCCCCCCCAUUCCACCCCCACUCUC